RNAcentral lists this ribosomal RNA (429 nucleotides) under Bacteroidota bacterium. Its description in RNAcentral is "Bacteroidetes bacterium partial 16S ribosomal RNA". It matches the Rfam family "Bacterial small subunit ribosomal RNA", at positions 355 to 776 of the family's 1533-position model. The record is from RNAcentral. Lineage: Bacteria; Pseudomonadati; Bacteroidota.
UAGGGAAUCUUCGGCAAUGGGGGGAACCCUGACCGAGCAACGCCGCGUGAGUGAAGAAGGUUUUCGGAUCGUAAAGCUCUGUUGUUAAGGAAGAACGAGUGUGAGAAUGGAAAGUUCAUACUGUGACGGUACUUAACCAGAAAGGGACGGCUAACUACGUGCCAGCAGCCGCGGUAAUACGUAGGUCCCGAGCGUUGUCCGGAUUUAUUGGGCGUAAAGCGAGCGCAGGCGGUUAGAUAAGUCUGAAGUUAAAGGCAGUGGCUCAACCAUUGUAGGCUUUGGAAACUGUUUAACUUGAGUGCAGAAGGGGAAAGUGGAAUUCCAUGUGUAGCGGUGAAAUGCGUAGAUAUAUGGAGGAACACCGGUGGCGAAAGCGGCUCUCUGGUCUGUAACUGACGCUGAGGCUCGAAAGCGUGGGGAGCGAACAGG